This 484-nucleotide ribosomal RNA is filed under the name uncultured bacterium. RNAcentral's name for it is "partial 16S ribosomal RNA". It matches the Rfam family "Bacterial small subunit ribosomal RNA", at positions 30 to 507 of the family's 1533-position model. The record is from RNAcentral.
AUUGAACGCUGGCGGCAGGCUUAACACAUGCAAGUCGAGCGGAAGAAGGGAGCUUGCUCCUGGAUUCAGCGGCGGACGGGUGUGUAAUGCCUAGGAAUCUCCCUGCUAGUGGUUGAUAACGUCCGGAAACGACCGCUAAUACCGCAUACGUCCUGAUCGAGAAAGAUGGGGAGCUUCUGACCUCUCGCUAUCUUAUGAUCCUAGGUCGGAUUAGCUAGUUGGUGGGGUAAAGGCCUACCUAGCCGACGAUCCGUAACUGGCCUGCGAGGCUGAUCAGUGACACUAGAACUGGAACGGGGACCAGACUCCUACGGGACGCAGCAGUGGGGAAUAUUGGACAGUGGGCGGGAGUAUGGUACAACGGUGGCACGUGUGUGGAGAAGAUCUUCGGAUUGUGAAGCCCUUUAAGUUGGGGGGAAGGGCAUUAAGUUAAUACCUAGCUGUUUUGACGUUACCGGCAAAAUAAGCACCGGCUAACUACGUG